Molecule: ribosomal RNA, 564 nt
Filed under: Triticum aestivum (bread wheat)
Lineage: Eukaryota; Viridiplantae; Streptophyta; Magnoliopsida; Poales; Poaceae
Description: partial small subunit ribosomal RNA
Source: RNAcentral
AUGAAGAUCAUUCUCCUCCUCCUCAUCCUUGCACCCCUCGGCGUGUCCGUCACCGCCCGCCUCAAGUGCCCCGGCGUGCCAUACAACGGCGCUGUGGCGACCUGCUACCAUGGUUGCGGCACGAAGCUCAUCUACGACCUCUGCAUCAAGACAAUGCAACAGGGCCACAUCGACCUAUCUCCGUCGCACAAAGAAGAGACCACCGCGUACGCCAUCCUCGUGCUAAGCGCCGCCGUGGAGUCCACGAGGACCACGUCGCACACGCUGACCUACCAGCUCCAGAAGAACGCGUCCAUCUCCGUCCAGGAAAGGGCAUUCUACGGGGCGUGCCUCACUGACUACGUCGCGGCGUUGAACUCCCUCGACCACACCCUCGUCGUGAUGCUGCCGAACUGCUUCUUUCAGGGGAUCAACGACGACUACCUCAGCGCGCUGGCCAGCCUGAAUAGUUGUAGGGACCGGUUCAUAGGGCCGGCUAUGUACACGUCGCCGGUGUACCCCUUGGUUUUGGCCGACCGAAACAAGGCAUUGCUGGCUUACUCGCUUGGCAAGUUGUUAUUAUGA